GAACUAGCUACCUGAAAUCAAUCUACAUAUAAAUAUUGAUUGAUAACGNAAGGGAAAAUUAUGAUAUUACCUUACUAUUAGUGUCGCCCAAAUCUGGUGCCAGAAGACUCGGUAAGGCCAGAGACGCAAACGUUAAUCAUCUUAAACAGGCGUAAAGGGUUUGUAGGCUGCUUUGAAUAUUAUCUUUUAAUUUACCUUAUGGUAAAAUAGCGCAUUAGAUAAUUAAUCAAAGCUAGAAUCAAAUAGAGGUUAUAUUAUAUAAUGCUUAAAGUAGGUCUAAUAUCCUAACAGAUUAAGUGGAAUAUUAAAAGCGAAGGCUUAUUUACCAUAAAUGAUUGACGCUGAGAAACGAAGGUGAGGAUAGGAAAUAGGAUUAGAUACCCAAAAUACCCCUCUCUGUCAACGAUGAAUGGUGGUUGCUAAUUAUAAAAUUAGUAGCUAUGUUAACACGAUAACCAUUCCGCCUUGUGAGUACGACUGCAAAGUUGAAAAUNAAAAAAUUAGUCGG
This 508-nucleotide ribosomal RNA is filed under the name Amylostereum laevigatum. Its description in RNAcentral is "SSU rRNA". It matches the Rfam family "Bacterial small subunit ribosomal RNA", at positions 385 to 916 of the family's 1533-position model. Lineage: Eukaryota; Fungi; Basidiomycota; Agaricomycetes; Russulales; Stereaceae. The record is from RNAcentral.